UGGGGCGUAGCCAAGCGGUAAGGCAACGGGUUUUGAUCCCGUGAUUUCGGAGGUUCGAAUCCUCCCGCCCCAGCCA
Molecule: transfer RNA, 76 nt
Filed under: Rhodospirillaceae bacterium
Lineage: Bacteria; Pseudomonadati; Pseudomonadota; Alphaproteobacteria; Rhodospirillales; Rhodospirillaceae
Description: tRNA-Gln
Rfam family: tRNA
About the family: Transfer RNA (tRNA) molecules are approximately 80 nucleotides in length. Their secondary structure includes four short double-helical elements and three loops (D, anti-codon, and T loops).
Source: RNAcentral